This 305-nucleotide ribosomal RNA is filed under the name uncultured bacterium. RNAcentral describes it as "partial 16S ribosomal RNA". It matches the Rfam family "Bacterial small subunit ribosomal RNA", at positions 335 to 657 of the family's 1533-position model. The record is from RNAcentral.
CUACCUACGGGGGGCAGCAGUGGGGGAUAUUGCACAAUGGGGGGAACCCUGAUGCAGCGACGCCGCGUGAACGAAGAAAUAUUUCGGUAUGUAAAGUUCUAUCAGCAGGGAAGAAAAUGACAGUACCUGACCAAGAAGCCCCGGCUAACUACGUGCCAGCAGCCGCGGUAAUACGUAGGGGGCGAGCGUUAUCCGGAAUUACUGGGUGUAAAGGGAGCGUAGACGGUAAUGCAAGUCUGGAGUGAAAGGCGGGGGCCCAACCCCCGGACUGCUCUGGAAACUGUGUAACUGGAGUGCAGGAGAGG